RNAcentral lists this ribosomal RNA (498 nucleotides) under uncultured bacterium. RNAcentral describes it as "partial 16S ribosomal RNA". It matches the Rfam family "Bacterial small subunit ribosomal RNA", at positions 28 to 507 of the family's 1533-position model. The record is from RNAcentral.
GACGAACGCUGGCGGCGUGCCUAAUACAUGCAAGUCGAGCGGACGGAUGGGAGCUUGCUCCCAGACCGUCAGCGGCGGGCGGGUGAGUAACACGUGGGCAACCUGCCUGUAAGACUGGGAUAACUCCGGGAAACCGGGGCUAAUACCGGAUAACUCUUUCCCUCACCUGAGGGAAAGCUGAAAGAUGGCAUCUCGCUAUCACUUACAGAUGGGCCCGCGGCGCAUUAGCUAGUUGGUGAGGUAACGGCUCACCAAGGCGACGAUGCGUAGCCGACCUGAGAGGGUGAUCGGCCACACUGGGACUGAGACACGGCCCAGACUCCUACGGGAGGCAGCAGUAGGGAAUCUUCCGCAAUGGACGAAAGUCUGACGGAGCAACGCCGCGUGAGUGAUGAAGGUUUUCGGAUCGUAAAACUCUGUUGUCAGGGAAGAACAAGUACCGGAGUAACUGCCGGUACCUUGACGGUACCUGACCAGAAAGCCACGGCUAACUACGUG